Molecule: long non-coding RNA, 659 nt
Organism: Zalophus californianus (California sea lion)
Lineage: Eukaryota; Metazoa; Chordata; Mammalia; Carnivora; Otariidae
Exons: 3
Source: RefSeq, a predicted model, not a curated record
CAACCGCGCGCUCUCCAAAUCCGAGGAAACUUGUGGUCUCAGAAGGCCGCCGAGCCAGGGCCGGGCAGAGGACUGGAAUCCGAGAGUGGGAAUUCAAGAAAAGAUAAAACACUAUGUAAGUUGGCAAGAUGGCAGCCCCAGCUCCAGCCAACAUGGCUCCGUGGUUGAAGUCUGGAUCUGAGGGCAAACCCAGGAGCCCAGAAAGAAAACCCAAAGGAGACUGAUUGGCUCUGAUUUGCCUCCCUUGAGUUAUGUGCCUGUCCUUGAACCAAUCACUGAAACCACAGGAGAAACUGAUGCUCUGGAUCAUAUGCCAAGCCUGGGUCAUAUACUAUCCCUGGAAUAGGAGAUGGUGAGGAGCAGUCUGCGCAGCAUCUUCCCCAGGAGUAAACUCCAUCUCAAGAAACCACUUUCUGUGUUCGUCCGUAAGAAGCAGCUUCUCAUCCAUUCAAGUUGUAUCAUGAGAUUGCAGCAACUCAGGCUCAUCCUGAGGCGCCACUUCUAGCUCUAGUUCUCUUGCUGUUUCCACCCCAUGUGCACCUAACUUCCUCCUUGGAAGUCUUGAACCCCUCAAAGUUCUCCAUGAGGGUUGGAAUCCACUUCUUCCAAACUCCUGUUAAUGUUGGGAUUUUGACCUCUGAAUGUUCUUUUUUUGUUUU